RNAcentral lists this transfer RNA (73 nucleotides) under Larkinella knui. Its description in RNAcentral is "tRNA-Gly". It matches the Rfam family "tRNA". From Rfam's summary of the family: Transfer RNA (tRNA) molecules are approximately 80 nucleotides in length. The record is from RNAcentral. Lineage: Bacteria; Pseudomonadati; Bacteroidota; Cytophagia; Cytophagales; Spirosomataceae.
GCGAUAGUAGCACAACGGCAGUGCGCCGGGCUUCCAGUCCGGAGAUGGCGUUCGAGUCGACCCUAUCGCUCUA